AGUAAAGUCAGCUAAACAAGCUCUCGGGCCCAUACCCCGAAAAUGAUGGCUAAACCCCAUCCUCUACUA
RNAcentral lists this transfer RNA (69 nucleotides) under Xenodexia ctenolepis. RNAcentral's name for it is "tRNA-Met". The record is from RNAcentral. Lineage: Eukaryota; Metazoa; Chordata; Actinopteri; Cyprinodontiformes; Poeciliidae.